RNAcentral lists this ribosomal RNA (495 nucleotides) under uncultured bacterium. RNAcentral's name for it is "partial 16S ribosomal RNA". It matches the Rfam family "Bacterial small subunit ribosomal RNA", at positions 28 to 507 of the family's 1533-position model. The record is from RNAcentral.
GACGAACGCUGGCGGCGUGCCUAAUACAUGCAAGUAGAACGCUGAAGGAGGAGCUUGCUUCUCUGGAUGAGUUGCGAACGGGUGAGUAACGCGUAGGUAACCUGCCUGGUAGCGGGGGAUAACUAUUGGAAACGAUAGCUAAUACCGCAUAAUGGCAGUUGUUGCAUGACAACUGUUUGAAAGGUGCAAUUGCACCACUACCAGAUGGACCUGCGUUGUAUUAGCUAGUUGGUGGGGUAACGGCUCACCAAGGCGACGAUACAUAGCCGACCUGAGAGGGUGAUCGGCCACACUGGGACUGAGACACGGCCCAGACUCCUACGGGAGGCAGCAGUAGGGAAUCUUCGGCAAUGGACGGAAGUCUGACCGAGCAACGCCGCGUGAGUGAAGAAGGUUUUCGGAUCGUAAAGCUCUGUUGUAAGAGAAGAACGAGUGUGAGAGUGGAAAGUUCACACUGUGACGGUAUCUUACCAGAAAGGGACGGCUAACUACGUG